UGCCUGAUGGAGGGGGAUAACUACUGGAACGGUAGCUAAUACCGCAUAACGUCGCAAGACCAAAGAGGGGGACCUUCGGGCCUCUUGCCAUCGGAUGUGCCCAGAUGGGAUUAGCUUGUUGGUGGGGUAACGGCUCACCAAGGCGACGAUCCCUAGCUGGUCUGAGAGGAUGACCAGCCACACUGGAACUGAGACACGGUCCAGACUCCUACGGGAGGCAGCAGUGGGGAAUAUUGCACAAUGGGCGCAAGCCUGAUGCAGCCAUGCCGCGUGUAUGAAGAAGGCCUUCGGGUUGUAAAGUACUUUCAGCGGGGAGGAAGGGAGUAAAGUUAAUACCUUUGCUCAUUGACGUUACCCGCAGAAGAAGCACCGGCUAACUCCGUGCCAGCAGCCGCGGUAAUACGGAGGGUGCAAGCGUUAAUCGGAAUUACU
This 432-nucleotide ribosomal RNA is filed under the name Escherichia coli. RNAcentral describes it as "bacterial SSU rRNA". It matches the Rfam family "Bacterial small subunit ribosomal RNA", at positions 127 to 555 of the family's 1533-position model. Lineage: Bacteria; Pseudomonadati; Pseudomonadota; Gammaproteobacteria; Enterobacterales; Enterobacteriaceae. The record is from RNAcentral.